This 26-nucleotide non-coding RNA is filed under the name Homo sapiens (human). The record is from RNAcentral. Lineage: Eukaryota; Metazoa; Chordata; Mammalia; Primates; Hominidae.
UGCCUCUAUCAGAUGAGCUGCUGGUC